Non-coding RNA from Microcebus murinus (gray mouse lemur), 2666 nucleotides. NCBI's taxonomy places the organism in Eukaryota, Metazoa, Chordata, Mammalia, Primates, Cheirogaleidae. The record is from RefSeq and is a predicted model, not a curated record.
CACGCACACGCACACACACACACACACACACACACACACGAGUGCUACAAAAAAAGAAACAGGGUGCAGUGCAGGCAUGGAGAAUAAUGGGGAGCAGAUGUGGAUAGGGUGAUUAGAGAAGGUCUCUCCAUGAAGGUGACAUCCCCACAUGAUGAUAAGGAGACACUCGUGAAACACAGGGUGGGGUAGGAGCAGUGUGUUGGGGUGUGAGUGUGCAUACACUGAGGAAAAGGGAAGUUGUAGAUUCUCUGGCAGAGGGAAGAACAGGUUGGUAGAAAACUCAACUGAUUCCAGGAGCUGAAAGAAGUUCUAUGUGGAUGAAGCGAAAGGGAAGAUGAUAUGGAAUGAGACUGGUUCAAAACACAUUAUCAGAAAAAGAGAAGUUGUCCAGUUAACCUCAAGUUUGCUGUGGUCUUUUAAAUCUGAUCCUCAUCCUUGCACGUCGCAGAUACUCCAAAGCUGCUCAUGCCCUAUACACGAUGAGAGAAAUGGCCAUUCCUUCCUUAUAAAAUGUGAACACAGUGAAUGUCACCUGAGACGUGUCGGCUGUUCUGAAAUGCAAGAUUAGAAAAUGAAAUUUCACCAAUAGUCAAAAUCGAAGGAUAACCUUCUGUGUCACAUUGAACUCUGGAAGCAAGUGUAAAUAAGAUAUGCCCUGCUGUGAACAAAAGUUGCUGGAAUCUGGAAGGUCCUCCUAGCCAAGGCUGCCUUUGAGGUUCACUCCAAAAGCUGAGCUGCCACUUGAGACACCUGGACUCAUGAUUUUGAGUGCCUAAAGUGCAGCAGCUCCAGUUCACAAGCACUAAUAUAAUUUUUGCAAACCAUACACCCACAACUGGCAUCAUAUACAACACUGACAUGAUUUCUUUUCUCCUAGAGUGUAUUGUUGGCUAAUUGCUCUCAGUCAUUAAGCUGGAAGUGACAUACUGGGGACACUGCUUUGGAGGAGUUGGGAACCACAGUGCACAGAGAACCAGAUGAUUUAAUUAUUUCUCACAUUUCUCUUUCCUUUGUAGUUAAUUAGCAAACAUUCCUUCCUCUACCUUAUCUCUUUGUUGAGGUUAUAUCAGCAAUUAUCUGCCCUCCAGUCUAUGCAAAACUAUCUGAAUAAUUCAUAAUGCAAAAGAGCUUAUCAACGUUCUUCCAUGUUCCAUUGCCCAAGGGUGAUUGAAAUAUUGCAAAUAAAUGGAAAAAUAGAGAGAUAAACAAAACCACCCAGAUUUAUGAGGUUAACCUACCGUGCAUGCUUAAUAUAUUUUUAACAAAGCUCUUCAGUCAUUAUUGCCACGUUAACGAGAACAUUGGCCUUUUGCUAUAACAUGUCUUCUGAACAUAUUCUUGCAUGUUAGUCUUUUUCAUGUUUCUCUGAAGUGGUCACAUAUCUGUCAGCUCCGUGGUCUGUCUUCUUCCAAUUCGGCCUGUUCCACAGGUGUGUGACCAUGUGCUGUAGUGGUUGCUGUGUGGCUUUGAAGUCACACAGAUCUGAGUUCUAGUCCUUGCCUACUGCUGAGCAAAUGUGAGCAAGUGUCUGUGCCUGAAAUUCUCAUGAAUAAAACAGGAAUAAUAAUACUCACCUUGUUGUUGAGAUGUUAUUAAUAUAAGGUGGUGUAAGCAAAGCAUUAGAACAGUGCCUGGCACAUAGUGAAUGAUUAUCAGCUUGUGUGCCUGCUGUAUACGCUGAACAACUCUUGUGUAGCUUGGGUCCACCUCCAGCUGCAGCUGUGUUUACCAGGAACCCAGUCAGCCACUGUCCUGAUAGUUAAAAACUCCUUAUUUGUGGACUUAACUGAUGCAUGUCACUUCCGUCUGUGAGGCCAGAUUUACACCAGUGACAUGGCAGUCUUUCUUUUUUUUUUUCUUAACACCUGGAGGUGACUUACUCCCAUGCCUCUGCUUCCAGAAACAUGAUAGAGUGUUUAUGGAGCUUUAUAGCACUUACCUUUACGUAAAGUCAAAUGUAAGAUAAGAGAACAGUUGUUUAUAACCACGAAGCAAGCCCUUUCAUGAACAUAGGCUUUACUUAACCGUCUUUAUUUCUGUGAACAUCUCCUCUUCCUAUUCUUAGAUGUAUCUCUUAUUUAUCAUUAAAGCAAAUUGCUUUUAAAAGAUCACAUUUUUUGACUCCGUGGUUCUCAACAACAACUGAGCUUCAAACUUACCUGUGUUGUUUAAGAUGAGAUAUAUACAUAUCUAAAAUAAAUAUAAAUAUGUAUGUUUAUAUUUUAAAAUGUAUGCAUACAAACAUACACCAACCCACCCAAGGCCCCACCCAAAACAUCCUGAGAAUCUCUGGGCAUGAUGGGGUGAACAGAAGGGGCUAAUGUUCCAUCCAGGUGAGGCUGUUAUGGACCUACGAUUAAGAAUCCCUUAAGAAUCCCAUUCGGUUAACUACUUAAAAUGGUUCCUAUCUGAAGGACAGUUUAUGAUUUGGGAAUUAAUCAGAAGGUCUUUUUUUCCCUUAAAUAAGUUUGCAGGCAAGAUGCUGCUAUUCCAAGUCUUCUGUUGCAAAUUAUGUCUUCCAUAGAAUGAAGCAUCCACAUGGUUCAUCAAAGCACAUUGUAAAUAAAAACACAUGUCCAUGGCUGGAAUGAGAGCAUUAGGACCAUCUAACUGCAUUCCACAGGAAUGAGUCUGCCUGACACCAUGCAAAGUGAUGGUAAAAACAA